AUUGAACGCUGGCGGCAGGCCUAACACAUGCAAGUCGAACGGUAACAGGAAGAAGCUUGCUUCUUUGCUGACGAGUGGCGGACGGGUGAGUAAUGUCUGGGAAACUGCCUGAUGGAGGGGGAUAACUACUGGAAACGGUAGCUAAUACCGCAUAACGUCGCAAGACCAAAAAGGGGGACCUUCGGGCCUCUUGCCAUCGGCUGUGCCCAGAUGGGAUUAGCUAGUAGGUGGGGUAACGGCUCACCUAGGCGACGAUCCGUAGCUGGUCUGAGAGGAUGACCAGCCACACUGGAACUGAGACACGGUCCAGACUCCUACGGGAGGCAGCAGUGGGGAAUAUUGCACAAUGGGCGCAAGCCUGAUGCAGCCAUGCCGCGUGUAUGAAGAAGGCCUUCGGGUUGUAAAGUACUUUCAGCGGGGAGGAAGGGAGUAAAGUUAAUACCUUUGCUCAUUGACGUUACCCGCAGAAGAAGCACCGGCUAACUCCGUG
This 490-nucleotide ribosomal RNA is filed under the name uncultured bacterium. RNAcentral describes it as "partial 16S ribosomal RNA". It matches the Rfam family "Bacterial small subunit ribosomal RNA", at positions 30 to 507 of the family's 1533-position model. The record is from RNAcentral.